UCUCUCUCUCUCUCGAACUCGAUCUCGAUCCGCGAGCGGAGUUCGUCGCAGAUCCGGACCACCGCAAAUCUGGACCACCUCCACGAGCCGACCCCGCCGUUGAUAUCUCUCUCUCUCUCGAACUCGAUCUCGAUCCGUGAGCGGAGAUCGUCGCAGAUCCGGACCACCUCUGCGAGCUCUCUCUCUUCCCCAAAACUCUCCCCAAAAUUCCUCCGCGAGAUUCCUCCUCCGACGCUGCAGAAAUUUGCGAGUGGAUUGUAACAGCCGGAGCAAAGAAGAUGCCUUGAGGUGAAGGUAGAAGUGCAGUAAGCUAGCAUAUUUUGGGAAUCACCAAUUUUACCGACUGAUAGAGAAGGAAAGGAGUUUUCGUUUCUUUCCCUUGCCUGAUUUUACCGACUGGUGGAAAUUUUAUUGUAAAAGAAUGUAAAUAUUGAGUUGUAAGCUACGUUAGCUUGGGCAAGCAGUUUGAAUGUAAGGAAUAUUUAUCUUCAGUUUUAUUGUGUGCAUGUACAACAAAAUGUUCAAUGCUGUAGUUCUUCCAUGUUUCAACUUUUCAUGAGACUUGAUGUUCUA
Asparagus officinalis (garden asparagus) is the source of this 573-nucleotide long non-coding RNA. RefSeq lists it as uncharacterized. Lineage: Eukaryota; Viridiplantae; Streptophyta; Magnoliopsida; Asparagales; Asparagaceae. The transcript has 2 exons. The record is from RefSeq and is a predicted model, not a curated record.